GGGAGCUUAGCUCAGCUGGUUUAGAGCAUCUGCCUUACAAGCAGAGGGUCGGCGGUUCGAGCCCGUCAGCUCCCA
RNAcentral lists this transfer RNA (75 nucleotides) under Bacteroidota bacterium. RNAcentral's name for it is "Bacteroidetes bacterium (freshwater metagenome) tRNA-Val". It matches the Rfam family "tRNA". Rfam says of the family: Transfer RNA (tRNA) molecules are approximately 80 nucleotides in length. Their secondary structure includes four short double-helical elements and three loops (D, anti-codon, and T loops). Further hydrogen bonds mediate the characteristic L-shaped molecular structure. tRNAs have two regions of fundamental functional importance: the anti-codon, which is responsible for specific mRNA codon recognition, and the 3' end, to which the tRNAs corresponding amino acid is attached (by aminoacyl-tRNA synthetases). tRNAs cope with the degeneracy of the genetic code in two manners: having more than one tRNA (with a specific anti-codon) for a particular amino acid; and 'wobble' base-pairing, i.e. permitting non-standard base-pairing at the 3rd anti-codon position. Lineage: Bacteria; Pseudomonadati; Bacteroidota. The record is from RNAcentral.